This 253-nucleotide ribosomal RNA is filed under the name uncultured bacterium. Its description in RNAcentral is "partial 16S ribosomal RNA". It matches the Rfam family "Bacterial small subunit ribosomal RNA", at positions 524 to 776 of the family's 1533-position model. The record is from RNAcentral.
UACGUAGGGGGCAAGCGUUGUCCGGAGUUACUGGGCGUAAAGCGCACGCAGGCGGUCUGCUAAGUUUGGAGUGACAGUUGGUGGCUCAACCACCAAAGUGCUUUGAAAACUGACAGACUUGAGGGCUUCAGAGGGACACGGAAUUCCGGGUGGAGUGGUGAAAUGCGUAGAGAUCCGGAGGAACACCGAAGGCGAAGGCAGUGUCCUGGGGAGUACCUGACGCUCAGGUGCGAAAGCUAGGGGAGCGAACGGG